Setaria italica (foxtail millet) is the source of this 3487-nucleotide long non-coding RNA. RefSeq lists it as uncharacterized. The record is from RefSeq and is a predicted model, not a curated record. NCBI's taxonomy places the organism in Eukaryota, Viridiplantae, Streptophyta, Magnoliopsida, Poales, Poaceae. The transcript has 3 exons.
AGUUGGGAGUAAAGUAAACAAGAGCUCAAUUUGGUGCGGCAACACAAUUGGCGACUCCACUGGGAUGGGAAAAAAGAAGCACACGAUGGAUGGCAAUGGUCCCAAGGACAGGAGCACCAUCGACCCCGACAAUGUCACCGUCAUCACGCUUGAAGAUCUAUUUGAAGAAGAACGGCGGGAUAUUCAGCGAGAACUCGAGGAAGAGAUGACAGAGAGGCAGAAGCAAAAGUUGGCAUGCUAUCAGAAGACGAGGAACGGCGUCAUCAAGAAAAUAGCUACACCAACUUCUACUGCUCCGCGUAAUACCGAGGUACAAUUGACCAUUAGUGACGGACGAUUGAAAUUUGCAGAAGGCACUAAGAUGAAGCUUGAUAGUGAUCUUUUUCCCAUUAAUGUCAUCGAGUUUGAGAACAAGAAGAUGCUUAUUCGGUCAGAUCAAGCCGGGUCUGCAAAAGGGGAAAACAUUAUUGUUGAUGAUAAUGUUGCCCCAAGGAUGAUUAAGCCAAAAAAUCUGGAAGUGGGAGUAUGGAAAGUUAAUGAAGGCAAGAAGCAAGUUCCAAGGUUCAGGCCAACAGUUAAGCAGCUGUUGGACAAGUAUACAUCACGGUAGGCCAGCAAUGUGUUUAAUCGGCUUGGAGGUGCUAAGCGUCCUCAUUCUCCUUCUAGACAUGGUUUUAGUGGUCAAAGGUACCGGAAUAGAAAUUCAUAUAAUCAGCAACCAUAUCGCGAGAUGGGGUCAACAUAUUUGGGCCGUGCACCUCCCAUGCGCCCGCAGAUUCCUCCAUGGGGUUAUAAUUGCUCAGCACAAUAUUCUACUAUAUCAAUGGGUCGUUUUCACCAAGGAGUGAGACCAUCUGGGCCUAUAAUUGCAAGACAAAUGUCCAACAAGAGGGCUCGAUUUGAUCAGGAAUCUAGAUCACGUGGUGCUAUUCAUGGUGGCUAUAUGAAUUCAGUUUCUAAAACUUUUGAUCCAGCUGAGAGAGAAGCUGGUUUGCCCAGGGGGAAAGCAUUUGCACCAUCUACAGGUGGCCGCUCGCCUAAACAUAAUGCAUAUGGAAAAAUUUAUAUGGGAGGCAAGCAAUUCGCAUGGGUGCCAGUAGGACAAGGAGGUCAUGCAAAGAAUUCAAUCGCAGGUGGCGUUGAUAAGCCAGUGGAAAGUUUAGAUGAGUCUACUGGGGAGCCUUAAAAUUGGUCAUUCCAAACUGAAGGUACUGUUUAUGAUCCGAAAACGGGUGAUAUUCCAGGAAAGCAAGGUAAUGGCGUGCAGCAGCAAGGCUCUAAUAUUAUUUAGAAGGAUACUACAGUAAAAAAGUGCAGCUUGCAGGUUCAUUCGGAAGUUGAUAUACAGAAAAAUUCCGAGAAGGCAUAAGGUGCAUCACUAGACACUGGAACCUCCAAGGAUGUACCAAUGGCGAACAAUGGACUGAACUCUAGUGCUGGCAAGCGACGUGAAAAUUCAAGCAAUACUAGUGGCAGAGCAGCUAGAAACUUAUUUUGACAAACAGUAGGUUGAAUGGUAGUUCGUUUGAGCAGUAGAGAAUUUUUUCGGCCAAGAGCAGUACAUUCAUGCCAAGAACAGCAGUACCUCCAUACCGGCCGAGAAACUUGGGAGGCAGUAGCAGGAUCAUGUCAGUUGCACCAGGGACAAAACCAAAGCCUCAGUGGUGCCCUGCAGGACUCACACAUACUCAAAAGCGGAGAGUACAGCGGCUGCGAGCACUGGAAAUUAGGGAAGAGCAAUCUGAUAUGAGACACGAUGAGUGUUUCAAUCAAACCAGGCCCAUGGUGCCUACGAAGAUGACUUGGAAAGAGAAGCGUAUUGUGACAGAGGAAGGUAACACCAUAUAUGGAAUGAGUAUUGGUGAAAAUUCAGAAAAUAGAAAUAACAUUCAUGAUACUAUGGAUAUUAAUAUGGUGUUCAUGUUGCCUUCUGAAUUUCGUGCUGCUGAAUCAGAAGUUGCUGAGCUUGAUCUUGGCCCAAAAAAUGCUAUAUUUGAGAAACCAGAGAAGCCUGGCCAGCACCUGAAGCUUUUAUUCAUCAAAGGUCAUAUUGAUGGUAAGCCUGUUGGUCGCAUGCUUGUUGAUAGUGGUGCCGGAGUUAAUGUUAUGCCUCUUUUGGCUUUUUCUAAACUGGGCUGAGAUGAAAGUGAUUUAAAGAAGACCAACAUGGGACUUAGUGGGUUCUCUAGAGAGCUAUCUGAAGCCAAGGGUAUUAUUUCUAUGGAGCUAACUGUAGGGAGCAAAACAAUUCCGACUGCAUUCUUUAUUGUUGAUGUCAAAGGCUGAUAUAAUAUUCUGUUAGGAUGCGAUUGGAUUCAUGCAAAUUGCUGCAUACCUUCAAGUUUACAUCAAUGCUUGAUUCAAUGGGUUGGUGAUGAUGUGGAGGUGAUUGAGGCAGAUAAUUCAGCUUGUAUUGCAUUAACUGAUGCGCAGGUUGAUUGGCAACAUGAUGGGAUGAGAUGCUUGACAGGAAGGGAUUUUGCAGAUUGUGAUUAUCUAGCUAUUGGCAGAGAUGGUUUUGUACCAGUAAAUCUACAGCUGGCUAUGGUAGCUCGACUUAAUAAUUUAUCUUUUUGAACAAUGAAUAAAGAAGAUAGUAUCAAGUGGUUGCAAAAGCGUACUGAGCAGUAUGGUUCAGGCAAGAACGGUAUGCAUGAAACUAUUGAAGACUUUGACGAUGUGGAGAAACUUGGACAGGGGUUCUUAUCGGCUGAUCCGCUUGAGGAAAUUGAUAUUAGUGAUGGAAGUGUUCCCAGGCCUACGUACAUAAAUGCAAACCUGGAAGCUGAUCAGAAAAGUAAGGUGCUCAAAUGCAUCUAAGACGACCAAACGUCCAAGUUCAUGGAGCUGUCGGCCUGGCUGUUGGGAUAAGCGCCCCCUUUACUUUUUGAUUCUAUGAUACGUGGAUCUCAAAAAAAAAUCUAUCUUAAGGUUAGUACCAACCAAACACCUACCAAGGUUAAUUAUGAUAAAGUGUCCACCUUCUUUGAUUAGAAACCGCGGAUUCAACAAGUGCAACUAGCAACCUUUAAUUUGGAGAAGAGGCCGUGCUAUUAACCUAGCAAGGCCGGGUCCGUGAGGUACAAAGGUGCGGCUCGCCACAUGUGCUCCCCACAAAGGUGCGGCUCCCCACUCCAGCUGUCCUAGCCUGCUUGUUACGCUCUGUUUUAAAAAUAAAAUCAAGUGCUACAAUCAAGUGAUAUCAUAAAUGAAUAACAACAACAUGAUCGUGAAAAGAAAUAAAGAGAGACUAUCAGAGAUAUACACUUAAUCCUGGAAACGAAGCUUAGGCAAUCGACGGGGGCUGCGUAUGCCUAGAACUCAGCACCAUCUUCAACAAACUUCACAACAACUUCUUCUUCUAAGCAACAUUGUUUAUAGCAAGCGUGAGUACAUGACGUACUCAGCAAAUAUGGAUAAAAUAUGAAUGUAAGGCUUAAACAUGGAAAGACUUACAGGUUUAACGCAAGCACUUUUAGUUGGUCAA